Molecule: long non-coding RNA, 4428 nt
Organism: Felis catus (domestic cat)
Lineage: Eukaryota; Metazoa; Chordata; Mammalia; Carnivora; Felidae
Exons: 4
Source: RefSeq, a predicted model, not a curated record
UCAGCAGCAUCCUAUGAGUGAGAAAAUAACUCUUGGGAGGUCCUCCCUGGCCUCGGGGGCAGUCAUAGUGGGGAAAGAAUUUUCUGAGAGACCUGAGGGUUCACCUGGAGUGACCAACUCAUCCCUGUCUGCCUGCAGCUGAGUUUUAGCACUGAAAGUCUGUGUGCCCUGGGAGAAACCCCCCCCCCCAGGUCCCAAGCAAACCGGAGGCUGGUCACCCUCGUAGAGGAAGAUACGGGGUCUGGCCUCCCGCAGUUGGCAAGGGUUGGGCUGGGAGCUGUAAGGAAACACUCUGCUGUAUUUAAACGCCCUUGAGUGUCUCUAAACCACUUAGAUUUACAAAUCACCCUAGACCUAUUCCAACUCUGCCUAUUGAAAGACGGGAAGCAUGUCCUAUUCCUCUCAAUUCAAGUUGUUUCAAGUUGGGGUAGCAAGGUGAAGGGUUUUGUGAGAUUCGUUAGAUUUGUACCUCUGUGCCUUAGUUACCAACAAACUCACCAAUUGUGCCUGUUGAGACUUUUUUGGAAGUUUGAUUACCCCCUGCUUGAGGAGUUCGGUGUCAGGUGUUUACUCUUAGGCCUCCAUGAAAGAGGGUAGGUAGUUUCAAAGGUGAGGAACCUUCAAACAGAGCACGCAUGGUCGGAAGGAAGAAUUUGGAAUCUGCCUCUACGGGAGGUUGUACAUUUAUUUCAUUGUGUUUGUCCUCAGGACUGGUCAAUCCAGUGAGGUCAACGAAUGACACAGUUUUUGGUUCAGUUGCCAGCUUUGAUGUUCAAUCGAGGCAUCUUGAAUCUGUUCCGUUUGCAAAGCUUACUUUAGUUUUAAUUGAUACACGUGUUGAUGACUUUAACACAUUUCAGAGUUAAUAUAUCGACAUUUGUUAAGCCGUCUAGGUGUAGUUCCGAUAAAAAAUAUUUCGGUAGAAAUAGCGGGAGGUGUUUGUAUACUUUUCAUCUCCACGCUCGGAGGCUUUAGUUAACUUUGCAGUAAUUUAACAAGAUUUUAAUCUCUAGAGAGGACCACAAAGUGUUUAAGCGCCUUCAUCUGUCCCUAAGGGAGGCGCGCAGCAACUUUGCUUUGGCACAACGAGCUACGGCCAAGCUGCAUGUGACUGGCUUGUGGAUGCCACCACCCUUGGGUGAACAGUCUAAGGACCGAGCAGCCCAUCUGCCCAGCACCUCCCGGGACCCUACAUGCAGAGCACCUUGUGGGGCCGGGUUCUUCCUCCUCAGCCUCUCUGCUCUCACGGAGCCCUCUGACCCCCUGAAGAGACGGAAGGCUUGGCCGGUUCUGCCUUGCAGAUACUGUAUUUUCUGAGAGUGAAAUGUUUGUGCUGUUUUUGGAAUGCUCGGGGACAAAGUGUAGGGAGCCCUCUGGACUUAGAGCGUAGGGCUGCUCGGUGCUGAUUGCUGACGCACACUGGCGGGUUUGUCACAACGGGCUCUGAGCCUCAUCCUUGUGACAUUAUCUGCUGGUGGCUUGUGUCAGCGGCCACUGUCGCCUGAUGAUUCAUUUAGAAACGACGACGAAUAGCUGGCAGUCGUGCAAUGGUCCAACCGCGCGAAGUCCUCUUGCAACCGCAGUUUUAAAGCUGUAUUCCACCUCCCCGUACCCUGGGUGGCUCACUUUACCCGUUUGCAAAAGAGCUCUUUUUGCAGACGAUCCUCUGUGCCUGGCACUCAGGGUGACUUCAUUCCAGUGCUCACAGAAUGAGGGAACAGUGGGCCCGGUGGCGUCUGGGUACAUCGUCUUCCUGUCUUUGCACCCCAAUCCCACGUGUUUGCUGAACACCUCUUCUGUGCUGGGAAAUGACAUCCCUCCUGGGAACAGAAGUGGGUACACUCAACACCAAUGUGCAUGCCCAUGGACACUCGAGUUUAGCAGGAGGAGGUAGAUCAUAAACAGUGAUUGAUGUUCCUGCUUGUCAGAUGGAAGCCAUGCUGCCGUGAUGAACAAUCGCAGAGCAGAUGGGGGGGGGGGUUCAUGGUGCAAUUUAAAAUGGGGUCAAAAGUCAAAUUAAGCAAAGGUGGAAGGAGCGGGAGGGCUAGGCGGUGCAUCCAUUUAGAGGAGAAUCACUUAAUCAGGAGAAUUCUGUGCGAAGGUCCUCGGGUUGGACUCUGAUUUGUUCUAGAAACCAUCUUGUGGCCAGUAUCUGUACAGUGGUGAGGGGAAGGAAUUAGGGGGCGUGGCCAGAGAGGUUACUGCCAGGGCACCUGGGCCCUUAAAAGGCUUUGGCUUUUCCUUUAUGGGAUUGGAAAGCCCCAGAAGGGUUUGAGCAUCAAUCUGACUUAUAUUCUCAAAAUACAAAAGGAGUUUGCAACAUGCGUGUGGUCCCUGGAUCAGCAGAAUCAGUGGAACCUGGGAAUUUAUUAGCAGGACCCAUUCACAGACCUCACCCCCGACCCCCUGAUUCAGGGACCACACAGUGCGUUUGUCACCAAGCCCUCUGGGGAGGACAUAAAACACCGCACGCCCAGGUAUAUUUGAGUAUGUCUGAUAAACAGUGAAUAAUGUUUACGUAACCGUGCCCCAUGCAAUAUCGCAUACUUCUACAAAAAACAACAAAAAAGGACUUGUUUACCUGCAAUUCAAAUUUACCUGCGUGUCCUAUAUCUGCUAAACCUGGAAACCCUCCCGCAGAUGAUUCUGAUGUGUGCCGAAGUCUGAGAAUCACCAUUCUAGAACUGUUGAUGAGCCACCCUGGUGCCCUUCCCCUGGAUGCCGGGGCGGCCAUCCCUGGCCCCGCGAGUGCUGAUGGCUGAUGGUGCUCAGCUGCUGCCCUCCGUGGCGUGUUGCCCACAGCUGACCACAACUGCCCUCGGGACAAGCAAAAGGCUCAGAGUGUUCUUGUGCCCAGGAGUGAGGACUCUGCUAUGCGGUUUAUUCUUCCGAGUGCUCCCCCACUGCAGAUGGGCUGAGGCCACACUUCACCGAGACCCUGUCCUGGCUCUGAUCCGUCCCCUCGUGCAUUCUGUGUCCCCCCACUCCCUCACCGACGUUUCCCCCUGAAAGAACUCCUUCAGUCUGUCCCGUGCACCCACAUCCGCCUUGCAGGCCCUGCUUCGAGGGGCCGGGCGUGAGCUGCAGGGUCACUUUGUCUGCUGUUUCGAGGACAGCCUCUUGAAGCAAGAGAAGCAGUGAGGGGUUAGCGUCUUUGUGCGCGGACCCACUGGUCUGGACACAGACGUGGUGGUGUCGGGCUUAGGACACAGGAAGGAGCCACAAGCCCAGAAUUGCAGAUGGCCUCCAACACCCGAAAGAGACAAGGACACGGAUUUGACCUAAAGCCUCCCCAGGGAGGACAGCAGGGCUCUAAAUUUGGAGCUAUUUGUUACAAUCGCAAGAGGAAACUGAUCCAGGAGGAGCCAGUGUUCUCCAUCUGAGGGCGACGAUGGGAAACACAGACCCGGGCGCUGCAUCAGAGGUAUUACAGAGCUGAACUGCUUCACCUCGGAGGAAUUCAGCCUUGGAAAAAUAGCCAGAAUACUAAUUACCACCAAUUUCUGAGGACGGUUGUCUGCAAAAUAACCCAAGAGGACUUUGCCUGCAUUUAACACCUUGUCUCCUCAAGUUUCCAGUGGUCUCCACGAGCCGCAGAGGGAUGUUUUGAGGGGCAGGCCCGUUCGCUCGCCAGUCCGGUACGGGUCUGCAGUGAUAAAGGGCCCGAUGUGGAGCCCUUGAGGACCCGUGCCCUGGCGGUCCCGCACACGGGAAGGACAUAAAGAUGGGACCCAAGAGGAGCUGGGCUGGAAUUCUGUAUCCUCAAGACUCACUAGUUUGGGGCGCGGAGGCUCCAAACGCCUCUCUGCACCUGCUCCGGAGCAGCGUGGACGCGUGCGGGUCAGCGGUCAGCCUGCCCUCCCUUUAAGAGGGACUUGGCCACGAGGAGCGUGUCAGCCUCCAGCCUCCGCACCUUCGGGACCUGCUUCCGUUUUCACCCAAGGCCCUCCUUUCCUUCCCUCUGUCACCCCAUCACACUCCCCCUGGAAAAGCCCUUCUUAGCGUCUGCUCCCUGAAGACCUGGACAGUCACGCCUACACGUGGAAAAGUGCCUGUUUCAUCGGGGUGCCAAUCAGUGAGUCUUUACAAGGGGGAUGCACCCCUGUAAGCUGCACAGAUCAGGAGAAACACAUUCCCAGUGCCAGGCAAGUCCCCUGGCAUCUCCUGGCAGUUUCUACCCCCACAAAGAGGUGACCACCACCCCGACUUUAUUAGCAUAAUCUUGAUCCUGAAGCCUGAGAAAGAUCUUACGAGAAAGAAAAGAAAACAACCAGAGGCCACCGCCUCUCCUGAAGAUGGAUGCAAAAUCCUUGACAUAUAUUAGAAGAUUGAAUCCAGCCAUAUAGCCUUUUAUAGCCAAUAAUGCAUCUGGAGGCUUGGCAUCUCUCGAAACUAUUGUUUCAUUAUAAAUACAAUUUGGAAACUUCA